Long non-coding RNA from Fukomys damarensis (Damara mole-rat), 367 nucleotides. RefSeq lists it as uncharacterized. NCBI's taxonomy places the organism in Eukaryota, Metazoa, Chordata, Mammalia, Rodentia, Bathyergidae. The transcript has 3 exons. The record is from RefSeq and is a predicted model, not a curated record.
GUCUCGAGGCGGGUUCUUGCCGCCUUUGCAGCUCAGACUCGUCAGUUUUAAGGGCGGAGUCACUCGGAAACUUUGAAGCCAGAUGUCACAGCAAGUUAAAAGUUUAUCUUGGAGUCUGCUCUUGACUUAGUGAUGCCUGGCACAUGGUAGGCAAUAUAUUAAUAAUUAUUGAAUUUUUUUUAGCCAGAUGUCACAGCAAGUUAAAAGUUUAUCUUGGAGUCUGCUCUUGACUUAGUGAUGCCUGGCACAUGGAUAAGGAAAAGUUCUGAGAAGACUGGUAUGGUGAAUGUCAUAAGAAAGAACUUCAAUGAAGAUGCUAAAUACAAGUAUAACAAGACUUUCUCAUGGAUCAAGCAAUUAAAGAGCA